Small nucleolar RNA from Choloepus didactylus (southern two-toed sloth), 78 nucleotides. RefSeq annotates it as small nucleolar RNA SNORD115. NCBI's taxonomy places the organism in Eukaryota, Metazoa, Chordata, Mammalia, Pilosa, Megalonychidae. The transcript has a single exon. The record is from RefSeq and is a predicted model, not a curated record.
GGGUCAGUGGUGAGAAUUUAUCUUGUUGGAGAUGGUGAUGACAUAAAAAUCAUGCUCAAUAGAAUUAUGCAGAGGCCU